CAGCCGUAAACUAUGCGCGUUAGGUGUACUGGUGACCACGAGUCACCGGGGUGCCGAAGGGAAACCGUGAAACGUGCCGCCUGGGAAGUACGGUCGCAAGGCUGAAACUUAAAGGAAUUGGCGGGGGGAGCACCACAACGGGUGGAGCCUGCGGUUUAAUUGGACUCAACGCCGGGAAGCUCACCGGAUAGGACAGACAUAUGAUAGUCGGGCUGAAGACUCUACUUGAUGAUCUGAGAGGUGGUGCAUGGCGUCAGUGACU
RNAcentral lists this ribosomal RNA (262 nucleotides) under uncultured archaeon. RNAcentral's name for it is "partial 16S ribosomal RNA". It matches the Rfam family "Archaeal small subunit ribosomal RNA", at positions 748 to 1008 of the family's 1478-position model. The record is from RNAcentral.